GGACCUAGAGCCAUUCUAGCAAAUCACCCCUGGCUUCUGUGAACAUAUUAGAGUGGGAAGCAGUGUAUCUUGAUUAACAGUGUCAAAAGGUUCAGAGAGAUGUGAAAGGACAUUGCCUGUUCUAACCAGCCAUUUGUAAGAGAAAAGGCAGGCAGUGUGUUCCUUGGAAUGCUCCCUGAGCUCCUGUGGCCGUGGCUUUGGACAUGUUUGAUCAAAGAUUGAUCUUUGAAUCUUUUCCCUGGGGAUUUUUCCUUCAUAAUAUCCAAGUAAAUUCAUGAAGAGUGAGAAGGAAUGCUGCCUUCAAGCCUCCUUUGCUGGUGAGAGAUGUUAAGUACUACAGGGACAGAAAAUAGAAGACCAAUAGAACAGGAAAGGUGGAUAUGGAGAAUGGAGGGUCAGGAGGAUGUGUAUGUGAGCACUGAGACAGCUGGAUACUGCACAAGGAAGCUGCUCCCUGCCUGACCUUUGCCACUGAGUUCUUCCAAAAUGCUAAGUUCAGAAAUUUAACCCAGGGUUGUAGUAAGCAUUCUGGUAAACCAGGCUCACUUUCCAUAUGCUUGUAGUUGUGGCAUAAGUCAGGGCCUAAUUGUUUUAAAAAUAGAAAGUUAUUAACAAUAGGUACUGUGGAGAGAGGUAGGGGAGAAGUAACCUAGAUGUCCCAGGUUAUCCCCAUUCUUGAUAUGGCUGCUGAGAAAGUAGAAAAGCCUUGGAAGUGCAAUUGGAAUAGAAAGCUUGAACACUGCGUUCACACAGGCUCAAAACAGUUGAGCUGCUUAAGCUACUGCCUUCCUGUCAUUUCCUCAUCAGCUUCUUCGUUCUCUAUGCUGAAAAUCGUGUCCUCUCAUCCUAGCAGAAUGGGCCAUGCAGUGUUCUUUUCUGCUUCACUGCAACAUCAGAUAGGUCAAAUUAAACAGCCUUCAGGUUAAACAGCUGAAAGUUAAGCUGGAUAACUUUGUGUUGAAGCCAGUGAAGAGUAGUAGCAUUAAAAGAGGACUUUCUGCAGAAUGUAUGUUGAAUAGUUGUCUAUAAUAAUACUGUGAAAAGCACCCAGAAAAAGUUAUGAUUUCUACUUCUAGAAGAGAAUUUAAAUUAUAUAGGAUUAUUAAACAAAUU
Molecule: long non-coding RNA, 1113 nt
Organism: Gallus gallus (chicken)
Lineage: Eukaryota; Metazoa; Chordata; Aves; Galliformes; Phasianidae
Source: Ensembl